CGCUGGCGGCAGGCUUAACACAUGCAAGUUGAACGGGAUUUGAUGGUAGCUUGCUAUCAUUAAUGAGAGUAGCGCACUGGUGAGUAACACGUGGGAACAUGCCUUUUGGUGGGGGACAACAGUUGGAAACGACUGCUAAUACCGCAUAAGCCCGGAAGGGGAAAGAUUAAUUGCCGAAAGAUUGGCCCGCGGAAGAUUAGGUAGUUGGUGGGGUAAAGGCCUACCAAGCCGACGAUCUAUAGCUGGUCUGAGAGGACGAACAGCCACAUUGGAACUGAGACACGGUCCAGACUCCUACGGGAGGCAGCAGUGAGGAAUAUUGGGCAAUGGAGGAAACUCUGACCCAGCCAUGCCGCGUGAGUGAAGAAGGUUUUCGAAUUGUAAAGCUCUUUCGGGUGUGACGAUGAUGACGGUAACACCUAAAGAAGCCCCGGCAAACUUCGUGCCAGCCGCCGC
Molecule: ribosomal RNA, 456 nt
Filed under: uncultured bacterium
Lineage: Bacteria
Description: bacterial SSU rRNA
Rfam family: Bacterial small subunit ribosomal RNA
Source: RNAcentral